UGCAGUUUGCAACCAUCGCUUACCUACUCCGUGAGCCUGAACCAGGCAGCGGGAGAGAAAGCGCUGUGAUUCUUGCGCAGGAGGCGCCCUUCGGUAAGGCACCCAGGACCCCUCACUCAUGCGCGGAGCGGUAUUUUGAUUUCUACUUGGGUGCUGCGCUUGUAGUGAUUGAUUGCGUGGGAACGCGUUGGAAAUUCAGAUUAUCAAGAUCCAUCUUUAACCUACUGAAUCUCAGUCUCUGGAGGCACGUUUCUUUUCCCAUUCUUUUGUGAUUGACAACUUCAGGAAGUCCAUAUCAAUUAGCCACCAGAACGGCAAAAACAGAAUUAAAAAAAACCCAACCUACCAAUUAGUGGUCAUUCACAUUAAUGACCUGGUGAAGAGCAAGUUAGAAAGAGACCUUUCCUCCUGCCUACACAGCGGUGGGACUGCUGGAGUCACUUCAACCAUGACAUCCCCGAGGCAAUGAGCCAACAACUACCAGCAAAGCACCCUCUUCCCGAUUUCUUGUUGCCUGAGGUAAAAAUCAACCAUACAUUUGCUGAUACCACUGUUUAAUCAGGUUCCUGUUACAGAUGAUCAAAAUCAUUGGCACGAGGAUAUAAAGAUGAAUAAAACAAUUCCCAGUCACAGGGAGCUCCUUGGGAAGAGAUGUUGUAAAUUAACAAUGGCAGUGCAGAGCACAAAACGCUUCUUGAGGGCCAUGUCAAGGCCACACUGGUGGCAGGUAAGAAGGAGACAAGGAUUCAGGGGAGAGCCCAAGCAAGUCUUCACGUAAGGGGAAAUUCUUGUGCUGAAUGUUUAAAGGAAAAAAAGUGUUAGGACAUGCUUGCUAGGGAUGUCAGCAUCAGUUGCAGAACAAGACUCUGGCGUUAACUCCUAGUUGUACCACUUAUUCUGUAGCCUCACUGUGAGUUACACAUAGCCAUGCAUGUUGAUAUUCUUGAUUUUGUUCCCAGCAUUUAAGAGAUGUUCAAAAUAUACUACUGAAUUGAAACCUCUCUGAGGUUCCAUAGAACCAAUCCCCUUCUACCAUAUAUAUUUUAUUAAACUGAUUAGUUAUUGUCAUUUCCCCCUCUAGAAUGUACACCCUACAAGAGUGCCUACAUUGGUAACUAGUGUAUCUCACGUGCCUAGAACAGUGCCUGAUACAAAGUAAGUACUUAAUAAAUAAUAAAUACAUAUUGUUGGAUGAAU
This is a long non-coding RNA of Manis pentadactyla (Chinese pangolin), 1197 nucleotides long. RefSeq lists it as uncharacterized. The transcript has 3 exons. The record is from RefSeq and is a predicted model, not a curated record. NCBI's taxonomy places the organism in Eukaryota, Metazoa, Chordata, Mammalia, Pholidota, Manidae.